RNAcentral lists this ribosomal RNA (429 nucleotides) under uncultured bacterium. Its description in RNAcentral is "bacterial SSU rRNA". It matches the Rfam family "Bacterial small subunit ribosomal RNA", at positions 355 to 801 of the family's 1533-position model. The record is from RNAcentral.
UCGGGAAUUUUGGGCAAUGGGGGAAACCCUGACCCAGCAACGCCGCGUGAAGGAUGAAGUAUUUCGGUAUGUAAACUUCGAAAGAAUAGGAAGAAUAAAUGACGGUACUAUUUAUAAGGUCCGGCUAACUACGUGCCAGCAGCCGCGGUAAUACGUAGGGACCAAGCGUUGUUCGGAUUUACUGGGCGUAAAGGGCGCGUAGGCGGCAUGACAAGUCACUUGUGAAAUCUCUGGGCUUAACCCAGAACGGCCAAGUGAUACUGUCGCGCUAGAGUGCAGAAGGGGCAAUCGGAAUUCUUGGUGUAGCGGUGAAAUGCGUAGAUAUCAAGAGGAACACCUGAGGUGAAGACGGGUUGCUGGGCUGACACUGACGCUGAGGCGCGAAAGCCAGGGGAGCAAACGGGAUUAGAUACCCCAGUAGUCCCUGAG